Molecule: ribosomal RNA, 1375 nt
Filed under: uncultured bacterium
Lineage: Bacteria
Description: bacterial SSU rRNA
Rfam family: Bacterial small subunit ribosomal RNA
Source: RNAcentral
GAUGAACGCUGGCGGCGUGCCUAAUACAUGCAAGUCGAGCGAACGGACGAGAAGCUUGCUUCUCUGAUGUUAGCGGCGGACGGGUGAGUAACACGUGGAUAACCUACCUAUAAGACUGGGAUAACUUCGGGAAACCGGAGCUAAUACCGGAUAAUAUUUUGAACCGCAUGGUUCAAAAGUGAAAGACGGUCUUGCUGUCACUUAUAGAUGGAUCCGCGCUGCAUUAGCUAGUUGGUAAGGUAACGGCUUACCAAGGCAACGAUGCAUAGCCGACCUGAGAGGGUGAUCGGCCACACUGGAACUGAGACACGGUCCAGACUCCUACGGGAGGCAGCAGUAGGGAAUCUUCCGCAAUGGGCGAAAGCCUGACGGAGCAACGCCGCGUGAGUGAUGAAGGUCUUCGGAUCGUAAAACUCUGUUAUUAGGGAAGAACAUAUGUGUAAGUAACUGUGCACAUCUUGACGGUACCUAAUCAGAAAGCCACGGCUAACUACGUGCCAGCAGCCGCGGUAAUACGUAGGUGGCAAGCGUUAUCCGGAAUUAUUGGGCGUAAAGCGCGCGUAGGCGGUUUUUUAAGUCUGAUGUGAAAGCCCACGGCUGCUCAACCGUGGAGGGUCAUUGGAAACUGGAAAACUUGAGUGCAGAAGAGGAAAGUGGAAUUCCAUGUGUAGCGGUGAAAUGCGCAGAGAUAUGGAGGAACACCAGUGGCGAAGGCGACUUUCUGGUCUGUAACUGACGCUGAUGUGCGAAAGCGUGGGGAUCAAACAGGAUUAGAUACCCUGGUAGUCCACGCCGUAAACGAUGAGUGCUAAGUGUUAGGGGGUUUCCGCCCCUUAGUGCUGCAGCUAACGCAUUAAGCACUCCGCCUGGGGAGUACGACCGCAAGGUUGAAACUCAAAGGAAUUGACGGGGACCCGCACAAGCGGUGGAGCAUGUGGUUUAAUUCGAAGCAACGCGAAGAACCUUACCAAAUCUUGACAUCCUUUGACAACUCUAGAGAUAGAGCCUUCCCCUUCGGGGGACAAAGUGACAGGUGGUGCAUGGUUGUCGUCAGCUCGUGUCGUGAGAUGUUGGGUUAAGUCCCGCAACGAGCGCAACCCUUAAGCUUAGUUGCCAUCAUUAAGUUGGGCACUCUAAGUUGACUGCCGGUGACAAACCGGAGGAAGGUGGGGAUGACGUCAAAUCAUCAUGCCCCUUAUGAUUUGGGCUACACACGUGCUACAAUGGACAAUACAAAGGGCAGCGAAACCGCGAGGUCAAGCAAAUCCCAUAAAGUUGUUCUCAGUUCGGAUUGUAGUCUGCAACUCGACUACAUGAAGCUGGAAUCGCUAGUAAUCGUAGAUCAGCAUGCUACGGUGAAUACGUUCCCGGGUCU